This 1401-nucleotide ribosomal RNA is filed under the name Triticum aestivum (bread wheat). RNAcentral's name for it is "partial small subunit ribosomal RNA". The record is from RNAcentral. Lineage: Eukaryota; Viridiplantae; Streptophyta; Magnoliopsida; Poales; Poaceae.
AUGGCCGACAUCGAGAUCAAGAUCGCCGUGGACAGGUCGAGGAACCGCCUGCUGUUCGCCGAAGCCGGCUCCGACUUCGUCGACGUCCUCCUCUCCUUCCUCACGCUGCCUCUCUCCGCCCUCCAGUCCUGCGCACCAUCUCCGGGGUGCCUCUCCAACCUCUGCAACAGCGUCGACCUCCUCAGGAACAGCGGUCUGCUCAAGGUCGAGGCCUGCCAUGGCAAGCUUCUCACGCCUGCUCACACCGACGAGGACUGUAAGUCAGCUAGCAAGUACUGCAACAAAGCUCCUAUCGCGGCCUGCAAGUGUUGCUUAGUUAUGGCUAGAGUCUUGCAUGUCUACGACCACGAGCAAGUGGUCAGAAAAGAGACGUUUGUGCGUGGCACACGAUGGUUUGUGAUCAGUGAUGACAUGACAAUCAAGCCGGCAUCUACCAGAAGCAUACAGUUGCUUCCUCGGGCGUUUGGUUCUGAUGGGAUCGGCCAUGGCUUUGAGGAGCUCGAAGUGACCGUCGGCUGGUCUACCGCCUUCCUUUCUUCAGAUACCAUACUCACUGACGCAUUUCUAUCAAAUGAAUCUGAUACCAAGGCUGCUCAUGGCAGUACUAUGAAGGAACAGAGCAUCAGUCAGAAAGUUCUACCGUCCAAUCAAGAUUCUGCAGGUUCUUCACCACAAACCAAGAUCAAGGUUUUCUACGACACCUGUGAAAAGGAGGUCGUGUACGCUGAAUGUAACAGCGAGUUCGUUGACCUGCUCCUGGGUUUCUUAACCUACCCUAUCAGCUGUGUGAUCAAGCACACAGGAGCUCGCACUUGCCAUCUUGGCAGGUGCUUCAGCAAUCUCUAUGGCAGCGUUGCAGAUCUCGCCAGUGCUGGGUGCUUCACAGGUGGCCUCCCCAGUGACACGAUGCCAGAGCUAGCACCGUAUUGCUUCCAUCCUGAGAUUGUCAAGGAACAGAGGUAUGUCAUUGGCGAUGAUCUACUUAUUUAUCAGGCCACUGCCACGUCCAUGAUGAAGUAUUGGUCUGGGAGGUACAAGGACAUGGUAAUGGAGAUGGACAUUACUGUCGGCAAGCAGGAGGCUGUUGCGCUGCUGCGAGCCGCGCUUACUUCGAAGAAUGCACUGACCGAAGUGUUCAUUGACAAGCUGGAGAAACAGUCCCUUCUACAGAAGAUGCAGAUAUUUGCAGAGAUCCCCUGGGGCAAGACCAUAACCCUGGAGGUCACAAGAUCCGACACCAUUGCCACUGUUAAGAGCAAGAUCAAGGACAAGGCGUCCAUUCCUGCAGGGUAUCGUCAUGAAUUGGUCUACGGUAGCAGAUAUCUUAAAGACUUGUCUACCGUUGCUGAUUACAAUCUCGUCAAAGAAUGUACCAUCACCAGCGAAAUUUUCUGGAAGUGA